UGGCUCAGCCGGUAAAAGCGUCUGUCUGCAAUGCGGGAGACCCAGGUUCGAUCCCUGG
Molecule: transfer RNA, 58 nt
Filed under: Ovis aries (sheep)
Lineage: Eukaryota; Metazoa; Chordata; Mammalia; Artiodactyla; Bovidae
Rfam family: tRNA
About the family: Transfer RNA (tRNA) molecules are approximately 80 nucleotides in length.
Source: Rfam by way of RNAcentral